UGGAGGGGGGGCCGUCACCAGCAAGGUCAGCGGUCCUGCCCCACGUGGAGGGGGCGUGCAAACCCAGCCCCCAGGGUGUGGAGGGGAGUCUGACAAUCCUGCCCUAACGCAACAGCUGCGCGAAGCCCGGAAGCUCUCCGUCACGGGGGCGGGGCCAGAAGAGCAGAGGAUACAGAGACAGGCGGCCGCCGCCCUGAGGGGGCGUCUGGGACCUCAGCAUCUCACAGAAAACCAAGACCAUUUGAACAUGAUACCUCCUAGAAGAAAAUGAAGAUGCAUUCUCUAAUAUUAAAAAGCA
Suricata suricatta (meerkat) is the source of this 298-nucleotide long non-coding RNA. RefSeq lists it as uncharacterized. The transcript has 3 exons. The record is from RefSeq and is a predicted model, not a curated record. Lineage: Eukaryota; Metazoa; Chordata; Mammalia; Carnivora; Herpestidae.